ACAAAUUUCAACCUUAGAUAUUAGAAGUAGUUAAACAUUUUCAUUUAUAUUGAUAUAUGAUUGUUUUGGAAUUUUUUUUAUAUUGGUACAUGUAUUAAGGUAUUUUGGUGCUCUCUUUUGAAAUCGACAAUUUAAUAGAAUUACUAACACUUCCUCUCUGGAGGAAAAAUAUGUAAAUCUGGUUUUGAACUUAGGCUAUGAAAGAGGGUUUGGAUGGGGUUAAAUGACUAAAGAAUAAUGCCCUUAAAAAAUGAAGAUGAGAGAAUAACGGGCAAAAAAAAUGAAGAUUAGAGAAAAAAGGGGUGAAAAUUAAAUGUUUACAGAAAAACAGACCCCCCCAUCCAGA
Molecule: long non-coding RNA, 346 nt
Filed under: Mytilus galloprovincialis (Mediterranean mussel)
Lineage: Eukaryota; Metazoa; Mollusca; Bivalvia; Mytilida; Mytilidae
Source: RNAcentral